Molecule: non-coding RNA, 136 nt
Organism: Hordeum vulgare subsp. vulgare (domesticated barley)
Lineage: Eukaryota; Viridiplantae; Streptophyta; Magnoliopsida; Poales; Poaceae
Source: Rfam
UAUAUACUCCCUUCGUCUUAAAAUUCUUGUCUUAAAUUUAUUUGAAUACGAAUGUAUCUAGUCAUAUUUUAGCAUUUAGAUACAUUUAUUUGUAGACAAACCUAAAACAAAAAAUUCAAAACAGAGGGAGUAUAUA